Molecule: long non-coding RNA, 356 nt
Organism: Cryptomeria japonica (Japanese cedar)
Lineage: Eukaryota; Viridiplantae; Streptophyta; Pinopsida; Cupressales; Cupressaceae
Exons: 3
Source: RefSeq, a predicted model, not a curated record
AUUUUAAGUUGUCUGAUGAUGCAUCACAUGUACGUCCUCACCCAUUAAUGACUUUGGCUACACAUCAGACACCAUAUGACUUGACUACAACCACAUUUUUUGUUCAUGAGAGUGGACCUCCUCGUACCACUAAGGGCAGUAUAGAGCACAAUCGUAUGGAGGGCACAUACACUGAUAUUACAGACACACAAGAUGGUGCAUCUCAGGAGCACAUCUAGCAGGAUGAUGCAUCUCAGUCAUCUUCGCAUGGAGUGAAGAGGACUGCAUAUCAGAUGCACGAGAGAUCUUAUAUUAUAUAUGUUAGAACAUGUUAUGUUAUUAUAUUAUGGACUUUUUAUGACGACACUAGUUAUGUU